CUGGAGAAGAUGAGUAAGAUGACUUUGAGGAAAAGGUGCCAGGAGAGAAGUCUGACUGCUCCUCUGCUCCCGUCAUGAAGGAAUGCCUCCGUUGAAGAGAGACCUGCCAGAGGGACCAGAGCCCAUGAUUCCUGUAGCUGCCUUGAGAGGAGCCUGGGAUCCGCCUGGCCCUGGGAUACAGGGGUGGGGUGGGGUGCAGAAUGCUCUGAAGGCUUUGGAGAACACAGCGCUGUUUGUCCCAUCUCAUCAUGGUGUAAUUCAAAAUAAAGCAAUACUGAAUGCUAAC
Long non-coding RNA from Myotis davidii, 286 nucleotides. RefSeq lists it as uncharacterized. The transcript has 2 exons. The record is from RefSeq and is a predicted model, not a curated record. Lineage: Eukaryota; Metazoa; Chordata; Mammalia; Chiroptera; Vespertilionidae.